GCGCUUGAAAAUUCGGCCGGCGCGCGCUAUAAUAAGAAUGUCGCUUCGGCGAAGAUGACACUGAGUGCGCUGUGCAAUAGGUCUUUUGGACUGGGGGGCGGCACCCCACAGCUCCACCAAUUGAUUUGUUUACGGGGCUGACAUAGAUUCGACAGGGAUUGAAAGGCAACGCUUGUGUUCCGGAGUGGUUUCCGAAAAAACCGUUAAAUGAAUGCUAAAAACAUUCCUGCGAACGACAACGUUCGCCUUGCGAUGGCCGCCUAAAUUGGCUUGAUGCGGAGGCCGAUUGGUCAAAGCAUCGUUACGCGCAUCGCGGGGUCCGCCCGAACCCGGCAACAGAAUCGGGCGCU
Molecule: transfer-messenger RNA, 350 nt
Filed under: Rickettsiales bacterium
Lineage: Bacteria; Pseudomonadati; Pseudomonadota; Alphaproteobacteria; Rickettsiales
Rfam family: Alphaproteobacteria transfer-messenger RNA
About the family: Bacterial tmRNA, also known as 10Sa RNA or SsrA, is named for its dual tRNA and mRNA-like properties. Its role is to liberate the mRNA from a stalled ribosome.
Source: RNAcentral